Molecule: ribosomal RNA, 485 nt
Filed under: uncultured bacterium
Lineage: Bacteria
Description: bacterial SSU rRNA
Rfam family: Bacterial small subunit ribosomal RNA
Source: RNAcentral
GGACGAACGCUGGCGGCGUGCUUAACACAUGCAAGUCGAACGAGACGAUUUAGAAGCUUGCUUUUAUUGAGUCGAGUGGCAAACGGGUGAGUAACGCGUAGACAACCUGCCGCAAAGAUGGGGACAACAGUCCGAAAGGACUGCUAAUACCGAAUGUUGUAUCUCCUCCGCAUGGAAGAGAUAUUAAAGAUGGCCUCUACUUGUAAGCUAUCGCUUUGCGAUGGGUCUGCGUCUGAUUAGCUAGUUGGUGGGGCAACGGCCUACCAAGGCGACGAUCAGUAGCCGGUCUGAGAGGAUGAACGGCCACAUUGGAACUGAGACACGGUCCAGACUCCUACGGGAGGCAGCAGUGGGGAAUCUUCCGCAAUGGGCGAAAGCCUGACGGAGCAACGCCGCGUGAGUGAAGAAGGUCUUCGGAUCGUAAAGCUCUGUCUUUAGGGACGAUAAUGACGGUACCUAAGGAGGAAGCCACGGCUAACUACGUG